This 444-nucleotide ribosomal RNA is filed under the name uncultured bacterium. RNAcentral describes it as "partial 16S ribosomal RNA". It matches the Rfam family "Bacterial small subunit ribosomal RNA", at positions 338 to 795 of the family's 1533-position model. The record is from RNAcentral.
CCUACGGGCGGCAGCAGUGGGGAAUAUUGGGCAAUGGAGGCAACUCUUACCCAGCAAUGCCGCGUGAAGGAAGAAGGUCUUCGGAUUGUAAAGCUCUUUUAUUGGGGACGUAAACAAUGACGGUACCCAAUGAAUAAGCCCCGGCUAACUACGUGCCAGCAGUCGCGGGAAUACGUAGGGGGCAAGCGUUGUUCGGAAUGACUGGGCGUAAAGGGUGUGUAGGCGGUGUAGCAAGUUAGAAGUGAAAUACCUAGAGCUUAACUCAGGUGCUGCUUCUAAAACUGCUAUACUUGAGUGCAGUAGAGGAAAGUGGAAUGCCUAGUGUAGCGGUGGAAUGCGUAGAUAUUAGGCGGAACACCAGUGGCGAAGGCGACUUUCUGGACUAUAACUGACGCUGAGGCACGAAAGUGUGGGGAGCAAACAGGAUUAGAUACCCGGGUAGUC